UCGAGAAUCUUCAGCAAUGGGCGCAAGCCUGACCGAGCGACGCCGCGUGCGGGAUGAAGGCCCUCGGGUUGUAAACCGCUGUCGGAGGGGAGGAAAUGCCAAGGGGUUCUCCUCUUGGUUUGACCUAUCCUCAAAGGAAGUACGGGCUAAGUUCGUGCCAGCAGCCGCGGUAAGACGAACCGUACAAACGUUAUUCGGAAUUACUGGGCUUAAAGGGUGCGUAGGCGGCCCGGAAAGUUGGGUGUGAAAUACCUCGGCUCAACCGAGGAAUUGCGCUCAAAACUACCGGGCUCGAGGAAGAUAGAGGUGAGCGGAACUUAGGGUGGAGCGAUGAAAUGCGUUGAUAUCCUAAGGAACACCGGUAGCGAAAGCGGCUCACUGGGUCUUUUCUGACGCUGAGGCACGAAAGCUAGGGGAGCGAAGAG
This 425-nucleotide ribosomal RNA is filed under the name uncultured bacterium. RNAcentral's name for it is "bacterial SSU rRNA". It matches the Rfam family "Bacterial small subunit ribosomal RNA", at positions 355 to 775 of the family's 1533-position model. The record is from RNAcentral.